Molecule: ribosomal RNA, 523 nt
Filed under: uncultured bacterium
Lineage: Bacteria
Description: bacterial SSU rRNA
Rfam family: Bacterial small subunit ribosomal RNA
Source: RNAcentral
AGAGUUUGAUCAUGGCUCAGAUUGAACGCUGGCGGCAGGCCUAACACAUGCAAGUCGAGCGGUAGAGAGAAGCUUGCUUCUCUUGAGAGUGGCGGACGGGUGAGUAAUGCCUAGGAAUCUGCCUGGUAGUGGGGGAUAACGUUCGGAAACGGACGCUAAUACCGCAUACGUCCUACGGGAGAAAGCAGGGGACCUUCGGGCCUUGCGCUAUCAGAUGAGCCUAGGUCGGAUUAGCUAGUUGGUGGGGUAAUGGCUCACCAAGGCGACGAUCCGUAACUGGUCUGAGAGGAUGAUCAGUCACACUGGAACUGAGACACGGUCCAGACUCCUACGGGAGGCAGCAGUGGGGAAUAUUGGACAAUGGGCGAAAGCCUGAUCCAGCCAUGCCGCGUGUGUGAAGAAGGUCUUCGGAUUGUAAAGCACUUUAAGUUGGGAGGAAGGGCAGUUACCUAAUACGUAAUUGUUUUGACGUUACCGACAGAAUAAGCACCGGCUAACUCUGUGCCAGCCGCCGCGGUAAUAC